AGCCCUGUGGCUCAGUUGGUAGAGCAUGGUGUUUGCAACGCCAGCAUGGUGUGUGCAACGCCAGGGUUGUGGGUUUGAUUCCCAUGGGGGCCC
Molecule: transfer RNA, 93 nt
Filed under: Salmo salar (Atlantic salmon)
Lineage: Eukaryota; Metazoa; Chordata; Actinopteri; Salmoniformes; Salmonidae
Rfam family: tRNA
About the family: Transfer RNA (tRNA) molecules are approximately 80 nucleotides in length. Their secondary structure includes four short double-helical elements and three loops (D, anti-codon, and T loops).
Source: Rfam by way of RNAcentral